RNAcentral lists this long non-coding RNA (1504 nucleotides) under Gallus gallus (chicken). RNAcentral describes it as "lncRNA (ENSGALG00010027806.1)". The record is from RNAcentral. Lineage: Eukaryota; Metazoa; Chordata; Aves; Galliformes; Phasianidae.
CAGCCAUGAGGGUCUGUUUACUGGAAAGGUGAACAGAUAGCUGUGGCAGCCAAGUGCUUGGAGGUAAUUGGUGUGACCUCCAUUUCCACCCUUCCCCCAUUAGAGAAUAUGUCAGCUUCUCAACACUCAGGUCUGCUGCUCUGCACUGAGGAAGCAGGCUCAUGUUAGACAAAAAGCUUCUUAAAAUGUGGAAAUUACAAAAAAUAGCACAGCCUUGCAGAUAAAUGCUAAUUCUGUGCAUAUUAAAAGUCAUCCAUCUUCCUGUGUUUUUGAGAUACGCAGAGCUGUAAUAACCAGGAAGAUUGUGCAUGUUUCAUCUUCACUGAUCUUUGUGAAAGAUUGAUGUGAGCUGUGACCUUGACAGCUCCUGUGAAAGGUGUCAUAAAUUACUCUAGUUUUCGAAUCCUGAAUGGAAGAAGCUUGCUGUAGCCUGCACUUCUCUCUGAAGCAGUACCUAAAUCAAUCAGCAAGAAUGGUUUUUAUUUGAUUCUUUCUUGCAGGCAGGACUCUUCUGAUAUUUUAAUUAGUAUGGAUGAAAUAUUCCAUAAUUCUGAUUCUCUAAAGGUCUUUCGGUGCAGGUGCAGCUUCUGGUACUUCUGCAGAGCUUCCAGCCUAAGGACCGGUGGGCAGGUGUGAGUAGUGGAACGGUCAUUCCAGCUUCUGGCAGAAUGUAAUGUGUAAACAUGCAGUGUAAAGACAGAAUGAGGUUUUCAGAUCUAGUUUUAAAAAAGACUAUGAAGCACACAGCCACCUAUGCACCUCCUGAUUGGGACUGGCUGAGAUGGAGCACCCAUGUUUAGUUGAAUUGCAGCCAUUGGUGGUGUUUCUCACUGUGGAAUCAUUGUGGUGAUUAAUAGGUAUGUUGUGUUCAUGUAACUUCACGUCUUGGUCCACAGGGGCCCAUAAGGUAACCAACCUAAUGCUUUUUAAAGUUGAACAUUUUCCAGCAUUUGUGUGAGGUUAUAAAUGAAGCAGUGCCUCCCAUGUAUCAUCCCAAGAGCUGCUUUCUUUCACUGUCCUCCCCUGACAUAACAGUAACAGAAAGGGGAUGGGCUUGUGCUGAAAGUAUAGCUGGCAGCAGCCUAUGUAAUGAAAAUGUUCCUGUCUACCUCGAAGUGCCAGUAAUUCUUGAGGAAGGAGGAGCUCUCUGCAUGAUUUCCUAGCAGGAUUGUUCAUGCUUUAUAGCAACAUUCCUUUGCCACCUUGGAGCAGGGGCUUAGCACCUGAUGCAUACCACAGUGCUACCAUAUCAGUCCACGUGCAAUUAAGUUGCAUAAUGUAUACGUAACAAGACAAUUAUGACUGGGGACAGAUAAGCGUUGAUUGUUGCCAUUUCCCCGAAACAUGCACUUUACAAUAGUGCCUCAUAGCCACUGGAAUGGCAGAAGCCUUUUUAAGGCUUUACACCAUGUAGUAGACUUUUCAAGUCUUCAUUUUAUUUGGAGGAGCCAAUGAAAGACAAGGAACUGUGAAUAAUUAUAAUCUCUUUGAUUCGUGCUGGCAG